GUGUCAGCCGCCGCGGUAAUACAGAGGGUGCGAGCGUUAAUCGGAAUUACUGGGCGUAAAGCGCGCGUAGACGGUUUGGUAAGUCAGAUGUGAAAUCCCCGGGCUCAACCUGGGAACUGCAUUUGAUACUGCCUGGCUAGAGUAUCGAAGAGGGAAGUGGAAUUUCCGGUGUAGCGGUGAAAUGCGUAGAUAUCGGAAGGAACACCAGUGGCGAAAGCGACUUCCUGGUCGAAUACUGACGUUCAUGUGCGAAAGCGUGGGGAGCAAACAGGAUUAGAUACCCUCGUAGUCC
This 292-nucleotide ribosomal RNA is filed under the name uncultured bacterium. RNAcentral describes it as "partial 16S ribosomal RNA". It matches the Rfam family "Bacterial small subunit ribosomal RNA", at positions 505 to 796 of the family's 1533-position model. The record is from RNAcentral.